Molecule: ribosomal RNA, 705 nt
Filed under: uncultured bacterium
Lineage: Bacteria
Description: bacterial SSU rRNA
Rfam family: Bacterial small subunit ribosomal RNA
Source: RNAcentral
GCGACGCAUAUCGGAGGAGUAAUCCACUGGUAUGACGGAGCGGCGAACGGGUGAGUAUCACGUGAGAAACCUGCCCCGAAGACUGGGAUAGCCCGGGGAAACCCGGAUUAAUACCGGAUAUUCUCUACAGAUCGCAUGGUCUGUUGAGGAAAGGCCUUUGCGCUUCGGGAUGGUCUCGCGGCCUAUCAGCUAGUUGGUGAGGUAAUAGCUCACCAAGGCAACGACGGGUAGCUGGUCUGAGAGGACGAUCAGCCACACUGGGACUGAGACACGGCCCAGACUCCUACGGGAGGCAGCAGCAGGGAAUCUUGUCCAAUGGGCGAAAGCCUGAGACAGCGACGCCGCGUGGGGGAUGAAGGCCUUCGGGUUGUAAACCCCUUUCAGGAGGGACGAAAUUGACGGUACCUCCAGAAGAAGCCCCGGCUAACUACGUGCCAGCAGCCGCGGUAAUACGUAGGGGGCAAGCGUUGUCCGGAAUUAUUGGGCGUAAAGGGCUCGUAGGCGGCUUGGUAAGUCGGCCGUGAAAGCCCGGGGCUUAACCCCGGGACGCCGGUCGAAACUGCCAUGGCUUGGGUCCGGUAGAGGAGAAUGGAAUUCUCGGUGUAGCGGUGAAAUGCGCAGAUAUCGAGAGGAACACCAGUAGCGAAGGCGGUUCUCUGGGCCGGUACCGACGCUGAGGAGCGAAAGCGUGGGGAGCAAACAGGA